GCUUAACUAACGAAAGAAAGAUGGAACCAGAUACAUUCUUAAAAGAAAGUGCUUUAGCUUUUAUUUCAAUUUAAUACAAUACAAGGAAAGGAAAAAGGUCUCUUAGGGGUACCACAAAUAAAAGAAAAAAAUAGCUAAAAAGAGUCUGCUUCCUUUAUGAUCUCUUUCUUAGAAAAGAAAUUGCGUAAAUUCUGCCUUUUUUGAUCCCAUGCUUUCCGUUGGUCAACAACCAACUAAAUCUAUACUUCUUCACUACUCCUACAGGGAAGGUGGAAGAAAUUCAGUCUCUCUUUUUUUUGGGGGAGCAGAGCAGUCAAAGAAUGAACCAAACCAAAUGAUUGUUCUAGAAUGGCUAUUCCUCACAAUUGCUCCUUGUGAUGCAGCGGAACCAUGGCAAUUAGGAUCUCAAGACGCAGCAACACCUAUAAUGCAAGGAAUAACAGACUUACAUCACGAUGUCUUUUUCUUCGUUAUUCUGAUUUUGGUUUUCGUAUCAUGGAUCUUGGGUCGCGCUUUAUGGCAUUUCCACUAUAAAAAAAAUCCAAUCCCGCAAAGGAUUGUUCAUGGAACUACUAUCGAGAUUCUUCGGACCAUAUUUCCUAGUAUCAUCCCUAUGUUCAUUGCUAUACCAUCAUUUGCUCUGUUAUACUCAAUGGACGAGGUAGUAGUAGAUCCAGCCAUUACUAUAAAAGCUAUUGGACAUCAAUGGUAUCGGAGUGCGCCUCUUCACGAGGGUGAUUAAAGUGCAACGAAAUGCCUUAAAGUUGAAUAGGGUUCGCGAAGCAUCUGGCUUACCGGUAAUCUCCCAUUCCCGCCGUCGAGAGACUUUAAUAACUAUAGCAUGCCAGAAACGGGGAGUUGAGGUGGUUAGACCUAUACCCCGAAAUGCUCCCAGCAUAGGAGCCUAUGGUUCCAUUCUUGUUGUUGCUGGAGGUACACAUCCCUCUUCUCGGUGUGGAACGAUAUACGAGAAAUAGAUGCUCAGCCUGCAAUGUCCGAUAACGGCGCUGAAGUAGUGAAUCUAUCGGCACCAUAGCAGUGGUAUACAACUUUGGACCUAACGGCCGGCCUAGUAACCUUUCGGAAUGGGGGAUCCCCGUUGGCAACAACCACGGUAGUAGUUGCGGAACUACUGGGCCGGGAGAGGAGCGGAAAGCCACUUGACUGUAAGGAGAGGACAACCUCUUGUUCCUGCUCCUCUUUCUUCGCUUCGGGGACGGAGGUCCUACGGUAGGUAACAGCAGGCACAAGCAAGUUGACCGAAGGGGACCAGCGCUUCUACUCCUCCACCGAGGAGCCGUUCUUGCGAGAAGCAAGGGAUGUCGUGAACGGUGGGAGGUCACAGAGAAUUGACCUAUUCAUAGAGUGAUCCUAUGAUCGAUACAGGAUAUAGACUAUCUCAUUCUUUAUUCUAUUCUAUUUCUGAAAAAAAAAAGAAGGGUGACUCAACUUCUCAGCUAGAGUUGGUGGUGGGACCUGUUGGCAUAAUGCACGCUGGAACGUGGGAAUUCGAGGUCUCAUGAACUACUACUAAAAACCAACCUUGUUUUUGUUUUGUUUGUGGACAAACGAUAUCCGGUCAGGCCUAUGGCUGGAUCCUUUUAGAUCUACGGGCCGGCCGGCCCCGGCCGUUUACAUGAGCAUAGGGAAUCUAUACUCGAGCGUUCCACUGGGCCCCUGACAGGAUAGGUGAGGAAUCACUCUGGAUCUUCUUUUUUUGGGCUACAACUUCGCCGAGCCGACUAGCAUCCCUUUCCACUGUGCAUUUUUCGAACAAAGAAGACGACUAUAGGAUCGAAUUCGCUCUUCAAGAAACUGCUCGUCCCAUACCUUCUGCCUGUCUCAUAUGUGUGGAACCUGGUCUUUUUCGGUUCCAGCCUCUCCCUCGAAUACAUAGGGUAGGUAGGGCUGGGUGAGAAAUGGUUCCCUCUUGCCAAUAAACUUUCCCCGGCCUUCGAUUAACCUUACUCAUAAAGGGUCUUACGGUCGGGAGAACUACCUAACUAAAGAAAAAUAGUGUUCUUUCUAAGAGUAGGCGUGGAGAGCUUUUUGCGGGGAAACUUGCAAGUACAGUUUGGGGGGAGGCGGGCGUCGACCCUACCUUAUGAGUAUUCGGACUAUAACAGUUCCGAUGAACAGUCACUCACUUUUGACAGUUAUACGAUUCCAGAAGAUGAUCUAGAAUUGGGUCAAUCACGUUUAUUAGAAGUCGACAAUAGAGUGGUUCUACCAGCAAAGAGCCCUAUACGUUUUAUUGUAACAUCUGCUGAUGUACCUCAUAGUUGGGCUGUACCUUCCUUAGGUGUCAAAUGUGAUGCUGUACCGGGUCGUUUAAAUCAGACCUCUAUUUCGGUACAACGAGAAGGAGUUUACUAUGGUCAGUGCAGUGAGAUUUGUGGAACUAAUCAUGCCUUUAUGCCUAUCGUCGUAGAAGCUGUUCCUAGGAAAGAUUAUGGCUCUCGGGUAUCCAAUCAAUUAAUCCCACAAAGCCCCGACAAAGAGCCAGUACUGGUCCCCUCUCCCUCUGAUGACCGAACGCAAUCGUCUUCGUGGGCUUCCGCGCUUGCAGAUUGGGGAACUUCUCGAACGCAAUCGUCUUCGUGGGCUGCCGCGCUUGCAGAUUGGGGAACUUCUCGCUCGGAAUCGGAAUCGAGUGUGAACGAAGCCCAACAAAAUGCCCCCGCAGCAGCAGCGGUUGGUGUUGGGGCGGAGAUCCAACCAUUCCCAUUGUUACAGGAUGCCCUAAGGCGUCAGGAGCUAGAUAGCCGGCUGUCGUUCCACUUGCACUUGAUCGGAAAAAACUGGACAGAAGGGCAAAUAAACGCUACGUUGGAACAACAAUUCUUGUUAGAAAAACAAAUGGAGAGCGCUUUACUGGCCAAUGGCUUUAGCCCAGAAUCGAUUCUCAACGAAAUGGGAAAAAUACGAGGGAUCGCUUUCUAUCCGUAUGGGCGACCCCUCGCUGCCACGACAUACAAGAGCUAUAUAGAUAUAAUUGAAAGGGUUGGGCCAGACCAGAGCCCACCCUACAAACGCAUUAUAACUGCUUUUGUAGACUGCAAGCUUCGCCUUCGAUUUGGGAAUUAAGGGAAAAGCUAUAUAAAGUAAAACUAAGGUAGUCGCCAUAAGUCAGCUUUUCUUUUUUUCGGUAUGCCGCUCCGCGAGCAAGGAGUGCCACGCACAAGCGGAGCAAAAAGAAAGCAAGGGAAAUUCUUCUCUUUUUGGGGGAGCCAUAUGAGGCGGAAGCUUAAGCGGAAAUGAAAGAGGAGGUUGAGGGAAGCCACUAAAUUGAGGGCUUCGCUCGCUCGCUCUAACGCUCGUUUAGUAGACAGCGAGUGGAGUGCAUAAGCCCCUUUAGAGAUAGGGGUGAGCACUACACGAGCUCGUAAGUAAAGUACGGAACGAGCCUUGUCUACGAAGCAGAGCGACCUCAUAUUGCUUGCUUCUGGCGAAGCUUCUAGCUCUAAAUAAUAGGAAUUCAGGUAUGGCAGGAAUACUGUCGACCAUUACGAGCGAUAGCGAAGCCAAGCCGUAUAAAGGCGAGCAGCCCUUAUAGCAAUAGCAAACGGCCUACUUAUAGCCUAUCAACAGGUCAGUCAAUAUCAGUAGGGGUCCUCUUGCCUAAAAAAAGGAGUCAGCCCAACAUGGGCAAUGAUAGACAGACCAAAGAUUUACGCAGUCCUUGUGUGCUUGCUUUGUGCACCGGCAUAGCAGAAUUCGAAUCCGCUGGCUCAGAUGAGUGGCUCUUGGCUUCGUAAACAUAUCUAUGUUCUUGCUUUUUCACUACCAAUGAGUAGGCAGCUUUGGAUGCUUAUGGAGAUAUGGCUUUGGUAAAGAUCUGCUUAGCGUGUGCUUUCUCGGGUGCUACUUAGAAUAGAGAUAGUAAGACUCUAACUUGAGAAUGUUAUAGCGCUGUGAAAUAAGGACAUUCUGAUCGACCCGAUUGGCUCUCGUUCUGGUUUGGCGGAAAGGGGAAAAGCACUAAAUCUUUCUUCCUGGUUGGUGUACUAGGGCGAGGCGAAUCCCAACCCUUUCGUUAGCUAGCUUAGCUUUCCCUCUUUUCAAUCUAUAUCAGAUCCUCCAUUACUUCUUCGCCAAUACCUUUUAGCUUUCCUUUAGCUGCUACUUUUUCCCAGUCCACGCCCAAUCUAGUCAGUGUGCCUGCUCCGUCCUUCUUUGACGAAAUGGAUGCUGUAGGAGAGGUUGGGAAGGAGGGACUUCGCUAAAGAUGGUCUGUCUGUGCGCGAGGAAGGUCUUUUUCCUUUCUCCUUCCAUUGCUUGACUAGGUUCGCUUUGCAAGGAAGGGAAGGCAUCCGUGCAGGUAGAAAAGGGCGGAGGUCAAGCUAUGGGCACAAGGAGGUAAGGUAUAGUAAGUUACUUCUUCGUCUUUUGCUUGUCAUUGGAUUGGAAGCCGCAGGCGAUGCCUUCUUGCUUGUGUAGUUGGCCUUGCCUGCUUAGUGCGGAAGUGCGUAAAGUAGGCUCAUUCUUUGGUUUAUAAAGAUCUUGUAGUAGCCGAAGGUAGUCCGCUUGUUAGAUUGAAUUUCAUCUUAUAUAACAACACAACCGGGGCCUUAUUUUAUUAAUUUAGAGACUUUAUCAAUAGUAUAAGUGGACCUCUCAAAGGUAUAAGUAGACAUUAGUCUUGCUGGUUCGGGCGGUAAGGCCCUGGGUAAGCUCGGGUUAGCCUGUCAGGGUGAAUGCAGGUAGUGGAUGUAGCUUUUCUUCUGAAGCGUCUUAGUUCGUAGCUGCCGAAGUGUAGCAUUGAGGUGAGGAGCGCGCUAGCUAGGUGGAGUCUCCUUUCGGAACUACUUCUUUUCCUUUCUCUCUCUGCUAUCCCCUGAACUGUCAGUAUCGAGACAAGUUCGGAAUGUUGGCUGAGCGUAGACUAGUCUGUUCAGGCAGUCACAGGCUUGCUAAAGCUAAAAACGGAACUUAGCUUCUCACUGACUACAUCAGAAGCGAAAUCCUCAACUUCAAAUACAAUGCGAGCUGGAACGGGGUUGCCUUAGCUACUGUGGUGUACAUAUGCCAGGAAUCGCACCAUAGCCGGAGUCGAUCGAGGGCCAGAUCUUGAUGUAGAAAGGAGCUCUCAAGCUGAGGCGGAGAAGAAAGCUUACGAUUCUGUUGGUGUGAAGUGAGCUCUAACAAUCGAAGCGGCUAAAGGAGCCUGCUUUGGUGACCCUACGAGGAAGUGUUGCUCAUGUUAGUAAGCUUCAAACUUCUGGUAACCGCUUAUCCCAAGGUAGGUGGGCUUAGAUAAGAAAUAUAGGCAUUUUUUCUCUAUAUCAAUCCUUCGAUAAAGCACUCAAACCAACGAGUAAGGAAAGGAGGCCUUGAGUUGAUAUUUAAAAGAAGGAGUUCGUCCUGGUGUGCUGCUUCCUUUCCUGCCACUACUUUUUGAGUCAAAAACUCCUCUUUGGUUUAAUUCAUAUUCAACUUUCUCUAGCGGAAUUAGACUUUCAUUUCUAUUUCUUCAAAUCCAGCAUGACAUGUGUCAAGAAUCAAAGAAAAGUUCGCAAAUUGGCGAAUUCAAUGUUUCCAUAUCCCUCCGGGCAGGAAAUCAUAUAUUGAAUAGAGGGUACUCCACCCCUGUAGAGGAUACAACACAUUGAAAUAAAGGAAUUGAUUGGUGGAUCUCUCCCAUCAGACAGAUCAACGGCACCGGGCAUGGGAUACACAGGCAGGAGAGCCGAUUUGACCGCGCAGACCAAAUGAGCGAAAUUUUUUUAAAGCGAAAGCGCUGUGCCAACUUGCGUACAUGAUUUAUAUGUGGAUUUGAUACUAUAGUAAAAUCCUCUUCAUAAGUCCUUUCUUACAGGCUAUUCAAGGUCUAUUGGCUUUCUUGCUUAUGCGGUACUUCGAAGGCUAAGCCUCGUUUAUGCACCGAGAAAGAUCGUCGGUAGGAAAGCUCUGUUAUGCACCAACGACGGCCCCUUCUCUUUACCUUUCCCGUGCCCUACCUCAUUCCUUUGCUGGCUUGAAUUCCAUCUCUUUUCUUCUUUGUUUGCGAGAGUUACUCAUAGGACGACCCACCGGUAGACCAAGACUUGAACGGAUAGAAUCGUACUACCGCUGUCGAUGCCGGUGCUGCUUGCCGACGGCCCUUCGUUUACUUCUCUGGAGUCAACGAUGCCGCUUUUUCCGUCACGGAAACUGCUUGCUGUGCCCGGGUCAAGGAGAUUCGAUUUGCUUGGUUGGGUUCUUUGCUUGCUUAUUCCACUUCUUAAUCAUCCUUCAUUUCACUAAUUCGUAUUAACAUGGACCUAAGAUGAAUUAGAUAGGUUUUACACUUUUCUCAAAGAAAGAGGAAAGGUUGGCAGUUCAGGCUUCAGAUGGAAUUCAAGGAGAAAUUCAAUAAGACAGAGCUUCCUCUGAAAUAAACCUACUUAUUUGAUUGAUGUUCAGUUUCCCCCACUCCUAAGCUAAGUAAGGGGCGAAUAAAGCUCUUUGAAGGACGAAUGCUAAAAGAAACUAUUUACGUAGUAAUAGUAAGUAGUAGCGAGAACAGGAAAGGUAUAAUUGCAUCAGUCCUUCCAAUCAAGCAAGCGACCAACGAUUGCCAUCAAAGCAAGAAGUAUAGACUAUAGACUUGCAGGAUCAAGUGGGAACUUGACAGGUCUCGCAGCUACUAAGCUUUCAAAAGGGCGGCGCCCACCUGCGCUUUGUGCAGAACUGAAAGCUUAACGCAACCGACAUAGGUAAUCAAGCAGCAAUCGAGAGCCGACGGUCUGAUUCCACCUAGUGGCGAAUUAAACCAACAGAGAAAGCAAGCCUAGUUUUUGAAGACUACCUACUCCGCCUUUUUAUCAGAUUUCAUCGUACUGCUAGUCGUUGUUAUUCCCCGCUAACGAGUUUAUCUGCAGUUCGCAAUCAUGCUUUAUUCCCCUUUCAAGUUGGAAAAAAAGAAGUAAGACCCGUGUGAAGCUUUAGUUUCGUUACCGGCCAGAGCUCCUAGCCCUUUUGAUUCUGUUUUAUCUCAGUUAAACUCCACACCUCUAUCAAUUCAUUCUUUGCCACAUAUCUCUUUCUUUUUCUUUGUUGCCUUUUGAAAGGAAAGCCCGUCCAUCAAGUCUGUAGAGUUCCGUCCCGCUAGAAGUGAUCCUAUCUUGUUUGGGAAUUUCCUUUGGUAAUCCCCUUCUUCUUUACGGUCGAUCUUUUCCUUUGCUUAGGUCCACUGUUCCUGUUCUGGUUGUUCCGAAGGUACGAACCGAGGCUAUCUCAUAUAGCUGCCAUUGAUGGAUCAAAUCAUUCUAAAAAAGCGAUAUGCUUAACACAAGCUUUUCUUUUUGCCUACUCCUGGAAAAGAGCUGAUUCAAUAGACAAGUCGAGCAGAAGGGAAGAGCUUCCCAAAUCCUACUGUCAAGAAAAAGGCUAAGAGCACUUAUUUAACUUCUAGCUCGUUAGGGAUGGGAUUCCUAAGACUAAGACCGGUAAUGCCGUAUACUACGACCGGAAAAAAGAAUUGACCUCUAGAAAACUCAUUUUUAAGGUCUCUUUAUGACCUUAAGGACUCUUUUAAAGUGGGUUAAAACCUCAUUUCUUAUAAUAGAAAUAGGAUUGUAAAUCUAAAAGGAUUGGCGCAUAGAUACUACAAUUGAUGAAAAAAAGGAUCUGGUCUUUCACUACCAAUUCCUUUCAUUUUCGAUUCGGGAUGAUGAGCCCAACCCUGCUGGACGUAGCUCUCUUAACCGGUCUUGAACUUGAAUUGGAUAGACCGAAGUCUUUCUUACCCAUCCGAUAAGCCUUUUACAGACUCGGCUCUUUCAAAUCCUCUCAACAAUAAUUGACCGUUCACUCAUGCUUUCAUGGGAACAAGGAACUGGAAGUCUGCUGUUACUGAUCUGAUCUUUUCUUUCCUGGGUGUGGACGAGACAAAGAAAAGUCUUCUUAGUCUUCCGCUUUUUCGAUGAUAUCUAUAAGAAGGAAUACCUGUCGUAAGGUAAACAGGAGUUCCCGGCUCAAGCGAAAUGAUACCGGCUGAAGGUAAGUAAAUUCUUUAGUUUAGGGAAGGAAUCCACUCUAAAAGCUAGUCUUCUUUUAUCCAAAGAAUCCGAUGCAGUUAGCGAGAGUCGUGGUAGUUCAGUUCGAAAGGAAAGGCAGUUCAGUCAUCCGCGGGUAGAAAUCCUAAAAAAGGAAAGUAUGCUAUCUCUCCUAGCCUUCUUUCUUGCUGUGAUUCCAUUUCCUGCACCAAGCCAAGUUAGCUCAUCAUAGGGCUUUUUUUUUUUAAGAAAGGCUUAAGUUCUUCCUUUAUUAAGGUAAGGUCCGAGAGUAAGAUGGCUUUUUUUUUCAGCUCUUCUGACUAUGCUUUCCGUGGUAGCUAGGCAAAGUCCAGGUUAUAUCAAAGCAGACUACUUCCUGGUGGUUUAGUAAGGGCUUUAGGAAAAGGCGUAACUGCUCUUGUCGGAAGGGCAGGGCUACUAUACUAUAUGGUAAAGAUCUCCCACACCUGGACCAGGCUAAAAACGAUGAGUCUUCUCUUUUCAGGGUUAGACUCUAUAGAACCAGAACAAUAGACUGAUUGACUGUGGUCAGGUCAGAGCCCUCUAUUGUCUGUUGGAGGAGAUUGAUUGGACUUUAUACCGCACCUUACUUAGUCUUCCGCUGGAACUGGAUUCUCUAAAGCUUAAAUAGAAGUACCCCUCGGGGGAGGAUUGAAUAAGGAAUUUACUUCUCUAAAUCUAAAAAGGAGAAAAAACAAUUUCAUCUGUAUCUGGCACUGCUUUACUUGGCUUAUCUAGUAGACUGUUUUUAGCUUUCACGUGUCGAGAGGGAUAAAACCUUUAGCUUUAGCAAGUACUACUACUCCUAUGUUUUCGGAUAGUAUAACCGAUUAUAUGAUGUUCUUUUCGCUCUUGGAGUAAGAAAAAUAUGUUUGAAAGGUGCGUAGCGGUGAAGUCAAGAGAUUCCGGAAUCUCUCUUUCCUGUGCUAUCAAGAAUAAGGAAUAGCCAGCAAGGUCUUCUUCCUUAUUAUACGCGCGUGCAAGAGAUUCUGUUUAGUGUAAGGUGCAAGGCGAAAGUCAUAAAUGAAAUAGAACUCCCUGUCUCAUUCCCGACUAACCGUGAACAGAGUGAAGGGUGGGCCAAGAGCUUUUUAUAAGGGGUCUUUUUUCAACAAUAUUCCCCGGGCUCACCUAUAUCCUAUUUCUCUUCUAGCUGGCGGAUUCUCUCUUAUAUCGAUUUCUCAACUCAUAAUAAGUAAGGCACAGAGAGCUCAAUGUAGGAAUCGUGGAAAGGCAAGUAAACUACCUCGCUCCACUAGCUAGGUAACUCCUUUUUCUAACUAAGAAAGCAGCAAAUCCUUGUUGCCUGCAAAUAGGCUUUCUUCUCAUUCCCUCCCCAUUUUUCUUAUAUAGUCCGUAUUUCAAGUAGUCAAUAUGCCAGUGCCUAUUUAUUCUCUUGCCCUUCCUUCUCUUGUGCCGGGCGUGUGAUCGAUUGGAAAGCUCCUUCCCCUUUUCGCCUGGAAGAGGGUCAGUCUCAAAGCAAAUGAAAGCGGUUGAUUUGAUGCUCUCCGGAAAGAGCCAAAAUAGCCGCGGAUGCAGAGUUAGCACUACCCUGCUUCCAUCCCCUAUCUCACCUUCUUUUCCUAUGUCGACGUUGUCAUUUGGUCACUAACGGUCUAAUUAGUCAUAGUUUCCUUCUUCGGAGGGUUGGUUUGCCUUCUCAUCCAGCUUGAGAUCGGCCAGAUGGGCUUUUGCUUUGUUUACUCGGAGUUCUUUCCGUCUAGUCUGGUUUGCUUCUUUGCGUUCACUCGCGGAGUUCUAGUUAGGUGAAUUCUUUGCAUCUAUCAAUCAAAUGAAUGCGAAAAUUCUCUCACCAACCAAGCUAUCCCAAGCUGAUUUGGCUAAACAAAGGACUUGGUGAUUAGUAGCUGGUUCAACAAGAGCAAUUUGAUCUUAUUGGCUUGCUUAUUCAACUCGUUUGAGUAAACCCCGUCUUCACUUCGUCCCUCUUCCCUUUCAUCCAUUACCGUUAGCGCAAUAGGCUGCUCGAUUUGCCAUCUCGGCUCUUCUUGCCCUUUAUCCCAUGCCUGGGUAAAUUCUUUUAACCCUAGUCAGUAGACUGGCCUUUCCUUGGCGAUUGGAUCCGUGAGUUCAAUCAAAUCGGAUGUGGUAUCGUAUUUAAUAGAAAUGGCAGCUUUUAGGCGUGAUCUAUCUCUCUGCUUUUCAUAGUCAAGAUGUGCCCGUGGGAUGAGACUUUAGGGCUUUAGGGAGAGACUCUCUUUCUUUCUCAGAUUCAAAUGCGGGACCGGUAGUAGGGGUCAACGUUUUUGCUGUUACAGAAUCCCGUGCUACGGAAUGAAUCUAGUCACCAUCCGAUUUAGCUCUUUUAGUAUGGACAUGGCUUAAGGAAGCGAAUGACUCGAGUUCAAGUAGUUCGGCUAAGCCGGCAAGAGAGAUGGAAAGAGCGGAUCGAUCUCCUGCUUCCCGAAUGCCUUGACUUACUAAAGACUGGAAUGAACCAUGAAAUUGAUAAGGAAUGAGAUUCGGUAUCUACUCUAGAUAUGAUCUUUCCCAUAAAGCUAGGCAUGAAAAAUCCGUAUUCCAGAGCAAGUCAGAAGACUAGCUAUAAGGAAAGACUCUAUUCCAUAUACCAAAGCCAAGAGCCAAGCUAACUCAAUAAAGGAAGAAACCCUGCCAAGCCAAAGCUAGAAAAAGCACAAAGCUUUCCUGUUGAAUGAGGCUAUCUCUUCUAUCGCUCCUUCCAAGUGAGCCUCUUUCAUAGGAAUUCCCCCCAUCAGAUCAGGGGGUUCCUAUAGGGGCCAGGUACACUCUACCUGAAAAUGAGACAGAAAUGAAUGCAAGACUUCGAAAGCUUGCAAGGCUUGAAGCUCAGAAAUGGAUGAUUUGAGAUCCGUUGAAUUCAGACCAUAAAGCGUAAAAGUCUUUUUCCUCCCACUUGAAUAGAAGAAUGAAGGGAGGAAGUCAAUUGCCCCUUCUCCAGCUAACCGAUAGGGAAAUCCUUACACAAGCCCAAAAAAAAGCAUGAACUCGAUCUUCAGCCCUUACCACGAUUCUCUCAAAAAAAGGAAGGAGAUGAAUCUGCCUAAGUAAGGAAGCGGGGCUUAGUGUGAGUCACUUCACUCGGGAAAGAACAAAGAAAGGGCAAUCAAUUGUUUAAGCUGUCAAUAAUUUCUUUAAAUUAGUAAUUUGACUGCGGAAAGGCCUACUAAGGUCCGCUCGAGGUUAUCUUCUUCCUGAUUCAAUCAAUAGCAGCUCCUUCUUUUCUUGCUAACAGGGCAAGGGCAUUCGAUGCAUCUGAUUCAAUUCCUGGUCCGCCCUCUCUUUCACAGCCUAGGAGUACACAUCGAUGAGCUUAAGUAAGCCUUUUUGACUAAUACACUUUGUUGAUGCAACGAACUUUUUCUAUUCCACGAGCAGAACACCUGAGAUGCACAGCACGUGGGCCUUGUCUAACGAACGACGACUUUCGAUUCUUAAUCGACAUAGGUUUCUCUUUUUGUGUAAUUGAAUUGGAUGGGCUUGCAACCCUUAGGCCUGCCUCUGUCACUGCAAGAGGCUCGAAGGGAUGAAAUAGCUCCUUUAAUCAACAAUAAGAGGGAAGCGCUUGAGCGAAAGGAGAAGGCAGAAAAAAAAGAUGCCUUUAUCCCUAGAGAUGCAGGAGCUUGCCUUAGGACAGAAACUGCUGAUAUCCGAAUGGCGUACGGAGCUGCUUACCCUAAGACUUCAACUCCAUCUUACAUCGAAGUAAGUUCGGCUGGAUCGAGAGAAUCUGGAUAGGCAUGAUCGAAAGAGGGGGCAACUCUGUCUCCGCCUCUGCUCGUGCACUCGUUAAAGUCAUGGCCUAGCCUAGUUGGUGAAGGAGCCUACAAGUGGUAACCGCUCUGUAUCCGUCAUCUCUUUGAAGAAGCUGAAAGGCUAGAAGCGGCGCUUUCAAAAUCCCGUGACUCUCAGUCAUCUAUCUUCUUUUCACCUGAAAAUUUUGGAUUGGGGGGAAGCAGAGAAUCGAAAAAAAGAAAAAGAAAGUCAUGCUUACUAUAAGAAGGAAGCGGGCGGAGACCCGUGCGUGCAGCAGGUGUAGAGUCAGUCGAACUAGUCCUGCGAAUAUGCGAAAAUGUUAUUUAUGAAUGGAGACCAGACACAAUUGCUUUAGCGGGGACUGAAAUCGUGACUAUGUGUUCAUGCUUUCGAAAAGAAAACAACCAUCUACACGGGGCGCUAUUUGUCUACUUAUUGCAUUAGUCACGUCUAUUUUGAAGUCUUAUUUAACUCGUUCGAUGUGAAGCCCUUCCACACCUGUAUGAAGCAUCUCCUCUCGGGAUUCACCGGACUUCGUAGCUUGAAACAACCUGUCCUUUUCCUUUUCCCUAUGCUGAGGCAGCACCAACAAAUCAAUCCAUCGAAGUUCCUAUUGACAUACAUAAAAAUAUAGGGAUGCCCUUGAUGAUUCGGAUCAUCUCAAUCAAUUGAUUGGGAAGAGAUUACUUAUGAGCAAAAGGGGAGGACGAAGUCGCAGGAGAUUUGGUAUUAUUCAAACUGUCAAAAUAAGGGAUAUCGUUGACUGGUACAAGAAUCGAAUUCCUUGCUUACACUUUCUUUCUACUGGUUGGCUUACCCUGUAUUUCAAGAGUAAAUACCGCAGUGAGGAAUAGCGGUUCCUCUGUUUGUUUGGUCUAAUAAAAAGAUUUUUCAUCACCGCAAGCACUCUCGCUUAGCUACCACUUGUCUUUGCUUGCUUACUUCUAAAGCAAACCAGACUGAAGACAGUAGAGAAAGACUUUUUAUUACGUUAUCCAGAAUGCGAUGCCCCAAGGCAAGAAAGUAGCAAUCGGCUUUCAAUCCUAUGAUUUGACUCGAAUAGCUAAUAUCAGAGUAGCAGAUAUGGUUUUAGCGGAAGCUGCUUUCCCCGGAUGCGGAAUUGAAAGAACCAUGCCUUUUUUCUUAGAAAAGCCUCCUCAUCAACUCUCUAUCUUUCGAACCACACAAGGAUUUUCAGUCCAGCUGAGCUACCUGAACCACUUUGAAAUAAGUCUCCUUUCUUUAUGUAAUUUCCCCGCCCCGGGAUUCUAACGAUGACGGAAGCCUCUAUCUUGAAUUGAAGGGCCGCGCGACUUUAUCUCUUUGAAGAAGGACGAACUCUUCUUUAUAUACACAAUUUUCUGUACGAAAUUGGAAGAAGAAUUGCUGCUUUCAAGCGUGAACCAGGUCCAGGAUUCGGACUAGGAAUUGCUAUUUUUUCCGAUGCAGUUAGCUCUAUUCCCUGACCUGAGGGCGGGAACCGUCUUAUCUUAGGGUAGGGGUAGCCCAGGUGGGAAGGGCCGGGGGGUUCGCUUUUUGAUAAUCAAUAAGUACNNNNNNNNNNNNNNNNNNNNNNNNNNNNNNNNNNNNNNNNNNNNNNNNNNNNNNNNNNNNNNNNNNNNNNNNNNNNNNNNNNNNNNNNNNNNNNNNNNNNGAAAGGAAAGACUCUUCCCUGCAUUCCUUCUUUUCCAAAAAAAAGGAAAUUUCUUUGGGCAAAAACCUUGGUAGUUUUCAAACAAAUCCAAUGUUGGGCCAAGCCUUGCCAGCCGGUAAUAGCCGAAGGCAUAAAAGGGGGAGAUAGGGAAGAGGAGAAUUAAGGAUAGUCACUCCACUCCAUAGAUAGUGCACACAGAUUCUUCUUUCAUUUUCCAUUCCUUUCGGGUCGGAAACGCGGGCUGCUAGUGGGGCUGUGCCCAUUCUCCCUCUUCUUCCGCUUUACAACCGGAAUAAGGAACCUUAGAAUUCACCCUACCUGUCGAUGAAAAAAUGGGAUUUGAGAGGAGCUGAAAGCCACUUGACUCUAAGGAGAGGACCACCCGCUAGCGGAUCAGAAAGAUUUGUAUGGAAUGUCCUACUCCUGCCUGAGCUUUCCGAUCAACCAAUCCCCUAUUUCAGGGACAUCUGUGUUAGGUAGGCCCAGGGAUCACUGAUUAGUCGAAUGAGCCCAUCUCUCUGGCCUAUCAUUUGUUGGUCGAUCCGGCUGGCGGCUCCUGCAUCUCCUGCCUCUCUAUGGGGGCCCCUUUUUUUAGACUAGUUUGCUGCUAGGAGUCCCUAGAGUCGAAUUAAUAAUCAAUAGAAGUCCCAAUAGAAGUUGACUGACCUGGCUCUUCAAUCGACGAUCUACUGCUCCCUCUUAAUAGCAGAUGCCCAUGCUUUGAUUCGAAAGCCCUAGCCAUCCCCAGGUAUUCAGUGUCUGGUUCGAUAGGACCAGGAAGAGAGGACUCUUUUUUUUCCUCCUCCCUUCAGUCCAGUUUGAACCCGUCCCAACAACGAACACCUUCCUACUGCAAGGUGAGGCUCUGCCCUUCCCUAGAAUCCACUCCGGGUCGGAGGAGCAACUAGUCAAACUUCUUGAGCAGCCGAGAUAUUGAACAACGAACAUUUGAAACAAUUCCUUGCCUCACCCUGAGAUGAGAGGGAAGGUCGAUUUGACUCGAAUCCUGGACCUGAUCUUGAAUCCUACACCGGUUAAUGAUGCGAUGGGGGAAGUUUUUCUUUUUUCAUCAAUGCUGGCCCAGUCGAGGCUCGUCCAUGCCCAAUCCCGAUGGGCCUUCGAUUUGCCCCUACCCUAGCUCUAUAAUCCACCCGUCUUCCCCAGUCCCUGAAAGCCCUCCGGGGGCCUAGCCCUCUUUCUCCACUCGAGUCUGAAGUUUAGCGGCUUUCAUCGUUGACGAACACCUGCGCUAAUAAGACAAAGAAAUGGAGAGUCUAUGCCUUGAAUGAAUCAGUAACAACGGAUUAGUGGAAUGAGGGAUCAAGAGACGGAUAGGGAGGGAAUGGCCUAUCAAUCAUUGGUUGACCUUCCCUUGAACCAGUCACGGAGCUCUCAACUGAGUUGUUUAGGUUCUGGAAUUCCAUCUCUAGUUGGGGCUUUCGAUUCGAAAAAAUGUGGUGCGGGUUCAUCUCUCUCGACCAGUUCAGGUGAGAGGGAGGAUGUAAUUCAGCUCGACCUACAGGGAGAGGGAGGGUGAUCGAGGGGACCCAGACUUUCGAUUUCUUCUCUAUGGCGGGAGGUUUCUUUCGUAUCAAGAGUGUGUUGGGGAGGCCAGGGAAGAUGGAUUGGAUCGAGAGGCGAUGCUUAUGCUUCUUCUUUCUCGAUAGGAUUCCCAUCAUUUUCAGUCUACGGCGAAGGAGACAAGGGCGAGGCACCGAACAUGUUCUACCCUCAACCUCCAUCCGUCAUUAGUAAUCUCAAUUCGCUUUUCCUAUUCACUAGUACACUGCGCGCUACAACUAGCAGCCCCUUUACUAGGUUGGGAAAAGGCUAGCGCGCUAGCGCGCAACGGCUGAUGAAAAGCCAGCAACUUCUUAGGAGUCAGAUAGGGUUGGAACCCUAUACAAGGGGCUGCUUGCUGCUCGCCCCUAUCUCUAAAGUGGCUUAUGCACUCCACUUGUUACCACUAAACGACGAAGCCAGGAGCGGAAGGAGGGACUUGAACCCUCAACCUUAGCCUUGGCAAGGCUAUGCUCUACCAUUAAGCUAUUUCCGCCAGCUAGGGUAGUGGCGAAGCACUACUGAGCAAUUCACGUAUCAAUUGAUACGGACGACUUCUGUUUUUCCGCCGGACCACAGUCUUGACCUCCGGCUACGAACACGAGUAGAUAGGCGGUUAGGGGGGGAGAGGGUCGGCUGGGCCUGCCUUUUCAAUCAAUCUCCGGCCGCUCAGUGCCGCGAUUGGUGCGAGUUGUAAGGAGUCUUGGUCUCGAGUCAAGCUGGGGCGUCAUUUCAUUCUCGUAACGGGAAUGAGUGCACCGCAAGACCAGACAAGUUGCUCCCUCGCCUCGCAGCGGCGGCAUCUGUCUUUUAAGUUAAGUCAUUUCCUAAGACGGCUCCUCUUAUUCUACGAUAAUCCAAGCUGCAGCGGCACCUCAUGAACUUCUUACUGGGGCAGUACUAUAAUAGGCAUUUGCGAGUGUUUGGAUGCACGUGUUUUGUUCAUAUUCCUGCGCAGUUAAGAGAAAAAUUGUCCCCAAGGCAACCACUUGUGUCUUUCUUGAAUAUGCUCAGUCCGGGUAUAUAUAUGCUAUGACGUGAAAUCCAAGAGAGUCGAUGUAUCCUUAAUGCUCUCUUUAAUAGGGUCGCCUCAUAUUUUCCUUAACCUAAUUAAUCAGCCCCGGGGGAGAAUGAUGAUGGAGAUGUAUUGCGGCCUUCUCCUGUUCAUCAACUCGAACCUCAUUCUUCUGCAGUUGAUGUUACGGAUUAGCCGCACUCUUCAGGCCAGCAGCUUUGCUCAGCAUUUUCUGCCGACUGUCAGCCUGUUCAGCUGACCUCAGAGGAUUCCUGUCACCCGGCACAGCAUGUUUAUUCUCGGCGGCGAUUACAGCCUCUUUCCCAGGGUCAGGCUACUCCAGAAGAUCAGCAGUCUAGCCCAGUUGCUUCCCUUCCAGUCGCUUCCUAAAAUUCUGGAUCCCGCUCUCAGCUUCGUCGAUCCUCUCAAGUUUCUUAUCCUGUUGAAGGCUUAUGAAUCGUUUUCCCCAAAACAAAAGAUCGAGCUUACCUCAUCUCAGUUCAAUCUUCUCAUGAACCUGAAUCAUUUGCUGAAGCCUCCAAUCAUUCUUGCUGGAGAGAUGCUAUACAGGAAGAAAUCAAUGCCCAGGAAAAAAAUAAUAAGACUUAGUCUCAUUGCCUGCAGGGAAAGAAGCCAUUGGCUGCAAGUGGAUUUACAAGAUCAAGCAUAAAGCAGAUGGCUCGGUAGAUAGAUACAAGGCUAGAUUAGUAGCUAAAGGAUUCCUUCAAGAAUAUUGAGUCGAACCCCUUUCCUUACAGUCAAGUGGCCCAAGGGCCCCCUUUAGAGAUAGGGAAAACAUUUGCUUCAGGUUGCUAAACACCAUUCGUGGCAUUCUUGCCUUGGCUGCAAUCAAAAGGUGGCCUUAUUUCAAUUUGACGUGCAGAAUAGAAUGCCUUUCAACAACAUAAGGGAAGGGGGCAAGAAUAAGUUUCUAUUCAGCCUCCUCCAACUCCAGGCUUCUCUUCUCCUAGGAAUCCUAACUUGGUAUGCAAGCUCAAGAAAGCGAUUUAUGUUACGGCCUCCGGCAAGCUAAAGCAGGCACAAGAGCUUGGUUUGAAAGGUGACAGCAGCAUGUAUAAGAGCCGAAAUAGGAGUAGAGGAAGGAGCCGGUUUUCAAAUAAGUAAAUCGGAUCAUUCAAUGUUUAUAAGGAGGUCGACAUCAGGUAUUGUCCUUCUUCUGCGUGGAUGACAUUGCUUUCUCUAGUAAUGACUUAGCUUCGAUAAAUGAGCUUAAGAGAAGAUUAAGAACCCAGUUUGAUAUGAAAGAUUUAGGAGACUCAAAGUCUCUUCUGGAGAUUAAAGUGAUGAGGUCGCAAAGAGUUUUGGAACCCAGUGCAAGUAUUCAUUGGAUUUAUUGUCAAAAGCUGGUCUUUCUGCAUGCAAACCGGAAUAAGAUAUAAAAUUAGCCUCAGAUGCAGGAGAGCUAUUGGAUGACCCAUCUACUUGCAAGGAGACUUGUUGGGACUCUUUUCUACCUGACUAAUUAUCGCCCAGACAUUGCUUACACUUACAACAUAGGAGGGAGUGAUCAGCCGAUUUUUAUAUGGACAAGCCGAGAUCAUCUCACUUAGAAGCUGCUUUUCGGAUUCUGCGAUACAUCAAAACCUCACCGGGAAGAGGUUGAUUCUUGUCUACGUCAUCCUCUCUUCAGCUGUCUUGUUACUAUUAUACUGAUUUCAUUAAGGCAGUAGAUUAUUCUGAUUGGAUUUCGAACAUCGUCCCCAUGCCCAAGAGGGAUGGACGUGUUCGCGUAUGCAUCUAUUUUUCUCAAUAAAGCAUGUUCCCAAAGAUGAUUUUCCGCUGCCGAACAUUGAUUUGCUUGUGGACAAGACUAUUGUUAAAGUAUACCUACUACUCUUUUCUGACGAUUCGAAAUUCUCGUCGUCGGCUUCCUCUCCCUGUAGGUCGAGCUGAAUUACAUCCACCCUCGAGGUAGAGUUCGUUUUGUAAUAGGAGCCCCGUUGGGCCUUUACGGAGCUUGGCCUGCUUUCGCAUUAACUCACCAUUUGGUGAUUUGGUUCGUAGCAGCCCAAGUAUAUCCAGGAGUUCCUUUUACACGCUACGCUAUCCUCGGCGACGAUAUCGUCAUCGGAGAUGAGCGGGUGGCUGAGCGUUAUCGCGAGCUAAUUCCGCCACUGAAUGUUCCAUUUUCGUUAGAGAAAUCGUUAGUAUCGUCAGUUGGUGCUUUGGAGUUUGCUAAGCGGUUCUUCGUACGCGGAGUGACUAAGGACUUUUUUCCUGUCUCCUGUCACAUGUUAAGAUCCUUAGUUAGUUCCAUAUCCCUUGUUCCUGUAAUGAGGGCUAUUAUGUCUAAGAAUCUUCCAUUGUCGUAUCGUUUACGGGAAGCUGGGUACCGGGUGUAUACUCGACGCACGGCGCCUCCUAGGAGACACUGGAAUCGGCAUUUCCUCGUCUUUCACUCACCGAACGGUGUGUGUCCUCUCCCCUUUUGGAUCUGGUUAAGCGCAACCACUGGUAAACACUUAACCUCUUAUCAACAAGGUAUGGUGAGGGGACCUGAUUAGGCUCUUGACCCCUCGAUUCCCGAGAAACUCAGUGAUCUCGAAGUUUUUCGAAGCCUGGUCAGAGUACGACUGGUUAGGGGGGCAUGGGUUUUGUCCGAAUGGAUGAAGUCCUUUCUCUCUUACUGGUCUUGGUAUUACACUAUCGCGGAGGAAAAAAAGACUCCCAUUGAGGCGCUACUUAGCCCGUAGGUUGUGCCACUGGUGACUAACCAUACAAAUAAAUUAUAUCAUUUUAAUAAUAACUAAUAACGGCGCAGUCUUCCGGUGUUACGACCUGGUGCUCUCUUGUGAAGAGCCAAAAGCUCUUGACGUAGGGAGGUUCGGUCCAGUCUGUUCACCUCAAUUUGCGCCCUAUUUGAGACUAAAGCAGGCGGGGUGGCGACCUCGUCUUAAGAUAAGAUAUAGGCAAUAAGACUUUAAGCGCACCUGAGCGCCUUUGCCCAUAGAGAAUACUGGGGACGAAAGUCUCUGGGGGGGUUCUAUGGAGCAAGUCUCCCAUUGCUUUCGCAAACCAGUGGGGACAACCCCCCAAAAAAACGAGUUUUCCACGCGGCGAUCUUUAUUUGAAAUAUGAGCCGCUAAAAUUUCUCCCUUUUGAAUGUAUUUACCCCUAUGAACCUGAUGCAUACAAGUCUUUCUGUUUGUUGGAAGGCUUAUACAUAAUACAUAACCAAAGGAAUGCUUAUAGUGUACCCAUUACCUGAUAAAACGAUCUUUUCCGGUAAAAAAAAAUGAUCUUUCCCUUGUGUUCGGCUAUAGCGGAAACCAAAAAAUCUAGAGCUUAUGGUCUUAAGUUCCAACCCAGUUCCAACAAUGCACUUCUCGGCACAUCAUCGGUAGGGGAAAGCGGAACUGCUUGACGCUGUAUACUAAAUACAACAAGCCCGAUUCGCAUCAUUAUGCUCAAUAAAAGGAAUGAGGGAAGCGAAAAUGCAAAAUAUUGGAAUUGGAAGGAAGGGAAAAUUGGAAGAUGAAUCUUUUCCCCGGAGCUGGAACAACUUGUUCUUCCUGACCCGAUUCAACGCCAAAAAAGGGCUUGUCCCUACCUGAAAGUAUUCAUAUUUCCUGAAGAAAGCAUCUGUUCUUUGAUCUCUAAGAUAUUUCAUAAAACUCUGUAUGGAUCCUCAAUCACCAAUCCUUGCAUGAAUAUGGGUUGUGCUCGAGAGGCUAUGAAUCGAUUGGACCUGCCAAUCGAAUGAAUCGUAACACUCGUAAUGAUCGACUUUACGAAGAUUCCAUUGGAUUCCGGAAGCUCGUAGCAUUGGUCCGGCACAAUUCCCAAACUUAAGAAGCUGGGGGCGUGCCCGCCGGCCCUGACCUGCCUCCGAUUACUGAAAGUGAAUUCGUUUUCAAUUAUCCUAAGCCGGCCUAUCAUUCAUUGGUUAGGGUUAGGGAAAAAAGCUAGCUGGAAGUAAUCUCUUCUUCUCAGUGAAAGCUAAAGGCCCUGGUAUAGUAGGAGUGUGGUGCGUGCUCUCUUUAUUCUGUAGAUGCGCUCCUGGGAAGGGAAGCCAGAAUUUUGGAUGUAGAUCGAUCAAUCCCGCCCUGUUCAAGUGAUCGCCCCGAGCCGAGCGAGAUUGGAGACCGCCUUAAUGAUUGUUCGUAAUGGGCCUACCAUUUAACGUACGUAUGUCAUGUAGUUUUUGUUUUUGUACCUUUGCCGUCCCUCAGCCCCUCUCCCACCCUUUCUAUCUAUCAUUAGAAGUAGGGCGGGUGGCGUACCUCACUGAGCUAUCGAUCGCGAAGCUAUCGCCCGGUUCAACCAACCGUCCGUCCUGGUGCCUUUGCUACUGAUUUGACCGCUUCUCAUCGUUAAUCCGGGUUCACCUUGGCCCUCGCCCCAGAGUUCUUAUGAAGACUCUGGUGGUGCAUGUGUAUGAUAGGGCCCCCCAUAAGCGCCAAAGAUCGGUGAUGUUGUCAUGAUAAGUGUGGGAAGUCGAUAGUGUACUCGAUGAUUGAAGGACCUAUCGACUUGCAUUAACUUCCCGUGGCUAGUAGGGGGAACUUUAAUGUAAUUGCGGAUCCAUUAGAAAAAACUUGGGGGUCGGCCUCCUGACUUCAAUGCCUUUAUUGAAGUGAUGAGCUUUGAAGAUAUGAUUUUCUCGUUUGGAUUAUUUGAUUGGGCUUUCAAUGACAGCAAAUUGACUUGGAGCAAUAAUCAAACCGGUCAACAUUGUAUCUGGGCCAGACUAGAUAGAAUCCUUUUGAAUGGGGACUGCCCGCUUCUAUAUAAAAGCCGUUUUGCUUCCACCAGAGUUGACCAUUUGCCUAGAGUAUCCUCUGAUCACUCUCCUCUAGUAAUCUUCUUAGAAGAUUAUAAUACUCGCAGGCCUGGGGUCUUUCGUUUCCAAAGAAUGUGGAUUCGGCAUUACAUUGAUCUCAACCAUGCUCGGGAAAUCCUUUUCAAGUCUUCUCCAGGAAGAUUGACUCGACAAAUAAAGCACUGAAUUGGCGAACUAUUUCAGAAUAUAGAAAUGCCGAAAACGAAGAAGGCCAAUUUGCUCUUGAACAGAGUUGGUCUGCUGAUAAGAAAAUGGAGUUAGAUUCGGCCAAGAGUAACCUUGAAAAACUUCUGCUUUACGAAGAAAGAUAGAGAAUAAGCACCUUGAACCAAAUUCAGAACUUGUCUCUGUAUGGCAGGAAGCUCUCAAUUUAUUUCAUACAUUACUUUCUUCUCAAGGUUCGGUGCUUGAAGAUGAGAUCCUUGAGACCAUCCCCUCUCUAGUCACAGAGGAAGAUAAUAAGAUGCUUACGAGCCCUCCUAAUAUGGAAGAAGUUUAAAAGGUAAUUUUUAGCAUGUCGGCGCGCACUAACCCAAAAAAAGGUCUCCCCUAUCCUUUAAAGCCAUCAGGCUUUCCGGAUUCUUUUUAUAUAGAAAAUAUUGUUGGGAUUUCAAAAACUUCCAGCCGGUCACCUUAUUUCUUCGCUGAAGGUGCGAUCCCCCGUUCCAUCAAUGCUACUUUCCUUGCUUUGAUUCCUAAUAUUUUGAUCUAGGACUACCUCUAUUUAAAUCUAAAAAAAAAAAUUCUCAUCUUCUGGAUAGAGUAUAAAAUAAAGUGGUAGGAGAUGAAAGCAUUGUUAUCCAGUGGAUUUUGCAAACAUGUUCUUUUCUCGAUGCCUAUACACCUUCUUGCAGGGAUUCCAGUUUCAAAGGGAGUUCUUGACCAGUUGGAAAAAAUGUUAGCUAACUUUUGGGGAGGCGGUGAUGAAGACAAAAGAAAGCUUCACUGGAUAUUUUUUGAUACUAUGUGCCUACCUAUUCAGGAAGGGGCUUUGGGUCCUCCUACUACAAGACAUUUUCAAGAGCUUUCAAAAGCUUUUCGUAUGAAGUUUACCUGGUCAAUAAGAGGGGGGUACUUUCAAUGAGAAGAAUAUCAGAGAGCCAGGGGUGGAACCAGAAAUCAGUGCUAGCUCCAUUUCCAAUCCGCCAUUUUUAGCCCUUAAGUAUUGGUGGGGUUGCCUGAAAAUAGAACGGAUUUCACUCCAAGUCCUGACAACCAGGUUUGGAAGCAGCAAACCAUAGGGGCUUUCAGAUAGUUUCUUUUGAAAAAAGCAGUCCAAAGUAUGACUCCCUCUUAUUGACCAGGCCAACUCCUUUACUAGUUAUUUAAAAUCAUAGAUGUGCUUGACGCACAUGGAAACUGCUUUUUCAAUGAUAUCGAAGCAUUUUUGCCUCACAGAGUGGUUUAUGAUAUCAGGAAUAGUGGUAUAUUCACAUCUCAUCAGGAGGAUAGGGGGAUAUGGAAAAAGAAUCGUAGUGAGUCAUUUAUUCUCAAAGCUGGUUGGGAAUCGAUAAGAAAUCGAACGGGCAUUCAAGCUUGGACUCAAUUUGUCUGGGAUAAAGCCAUUCCUACAAUAAUUAGCAUUUUUGCGUGGAAGCUCUUAUUUGACUUUGUAUGCGGGGAUUUCAGAAUCAGUUAAGGGAAAAAAUUCAGACGAAAGGUAUAAGAUUAGCAAGCAAAUGCUUGUGCUGUUCGGAGCAUGAUAAAUAAAGUAUUGAUCGCCUCUUCAUCAAGAGUGAGCUUGCUAUGGAGGUUUGGAACCAUUUUGAUCGCCUUUUCAAUAUAAGAUCCUUCCAAACGGAUUCCAUUCAGUCCCGGCGGUUUAACAGAUCUCGCAGGAAAUCCCAAGUUGGCUACGUCACGUCUAUGCUUACUAUUUUUUCAGUUUGGGAACUCUGGAAGGAAGGCAAUAGCAGUAAAUUAGAAAACCCAAUAUCUCAACCGGCUGCUAUUAUUCAAAAAAUUACUGACUGGCUGAAAGACUGUUCUCAGCUUCUUGACAUCAGAUCAUCUUGGACGUUUACUGAUUCUAUUCUUCUGGAUGCGCUCUACAUUCAUCAAGCUCGUAAACUCGCAAUUGACUCCAAAAUCAUUGUUGAUUGUGCUUCAAUGAAAAUAAAGAAGCCCCUAAAAUUACCCAUACCUAGACUCAUGGUGGAGCUUCAUUUCAUCCAAAUUAUCGGCUGGCCAUUUCAAAAUCGUCUAUACAUUUAGAGAAAACAACAAAGUGGCAGACUCUUUAGCAAACUUCGGCUGCGAUUCUCAGUUUGACUAUAGGUUUUCCUCUACAGCCGAUCUUCCUCAACAAAUUCAGGUUUUUUCUCUCAAAAAAGUGGGCUUAUUGAAUAUCAUAUUGGUUUGGCUUUGUUCACUUUCAUUUUAUUAGCAGUAAUGUUUUUGGCUGUCUUGUAGCUCUUUGUGAGCAGGUCUAUGUACUUUUUUUUUAUGGGUAAGGUUUUGACAUCCUCCCCCUUAACCCCCGGCGGGGGGCAGAUGGAGUAUUGACGAAGAUGCUUGGGACUGAACACAUCCCCCCUUACUUAGUAGGGCUUAGGAACGAUGUUGGCAAAUGAUUGUUGAAUAUAGUUACUCACCUCACAGCCCAAUUUCCUCUGUGGGGUGUAUACCGGCCGGGUUGCUGCCCGGAGGACCAAACCUGGCUGCUGGGACAAGCUUGGUAUACUGUCUUCCCUUUAUCAGCAGGCGGUAUAGUCGCAUUGCAAUUAUUCCACCAGUACGGGUCACUUUAUCCGGAUGUAACAGUGUAGUAGCAACUGCAGACGGGGUCGGCAUGAGACGUCGGUUUUUGAUUAACAUCCUUUUGCCACUAUCUUUCUUUCCUAAAAAUGCAGCCCCUACCAUUAGUCGUCUAUGGAGAUCUGGGAUUCGGUAUUGAAUCAAUCCAACAUUUCGUUCGGUCACUUCAGCAGUCAUAAAAAAACCUAAUUCUAUUGAGUUGAUUCCAUCUCCUUGACUUUGUUCACAUUCAGUAGCAGCUUGCUGGUGUCCUUUCAGGUCAGGAACUCCUGCAAUAGGCAGCCAGCCUAUUGGAAAAAGACUACUCUCAUCCCUCUCCUUUCAGUCGAGUGAUGCCUUUAGAGCCUAUAGUAUAGCUGAGUAGCUAAGAGCUUCUGGGAAUUGAAAAACGCAGGAAUCGACUUGUUUUGCGUUAAUGGGGCUUUGAGGGACGUCUUCUCUUUCCCUUAUCAAGCAAGUCACACCUAAUCGCCCUUGAUGCCAUCUUGAUAACUGGACUGAAUGUCUCAUCAUAGUCUAUACCCUAUUGCUGGUUGUAGCCUUUGGCUACCACGCGAGCCUUGUAGCGAUCAAUAGUCCCAUCAGACUUUGACUUUCUCUUGUAUAACCACUUGCGAGCCGAUACAAAAAUUUCGAAAUCAAAAUUUCGCAGGAAAAUGGGAUGAACAGAAAGCUUUUGACAAAAUAAAGGAAUACUUCCAUUCUAGUGCCUACAACGCCAGGAAGCCUUUAUUACUAUACCUAUCGGUCACUGAAACCACUAUGGGGUCUAUGUUGGCUUAAUACGAUGAAGACAGACGGAAGUAAAGGGCCAUAUACUACCAACGUAAGAAAAUGACUGACUACAAGACCAGGUAUACCAAUUUUGAGAAAACCUGCUUGGCGGGUAAGGCGGAAAUUGAGGCAUUACAUGCUGUCUUACCCAGUACAUUUAAUAGCUUCCAUGGACCUACAAAAAAAGUAUUUGUUCGAGAAACCCGCCUUAACGUAACGGGAAGGACCGCAAGAUGGUUACUGCUUCUGUCUGAAUUCGACAUCACGUAUGUAACCAAAAGGAAGGGCGAUAGCAGAACACCUUGCACCCUAUCAAGGAGGAACAUGAGUUUAAGGAUUGCUUCCCAGACGAGGAAAUAGCUGUCACAGAAGAGGAGCUGAAAGCCACUUGACUGUAAGGAGAGGAGGGCAUGGAAAUUUGACUUUGAUGGCACGACUAAUCAAAAUGGGUACGGAGUAGGGGCAUUGCUGAUUGCACCUGAUGAAUCGCACACCCCCAUUGCCAUUAAGCGGAACUUUUAAGGAACUAAGAAUACCACUGAAGAUGAAGCAUGUAUCCAUGGAUUAAAGACUGCCUUGACCCUGGGAAUAUAAGAAAUCGAAGUAUUUAGGGAUUCGACGCUUAUCAUCUGCCAAACUCAAAAGAAAUGAAAAACCAAAUAUGAAAAACUUUUGACAUACCAUGCUUAUCUUGAAAAGCUCACUGAGCAAUUCAAGAAAAUAAGUUUCUCUCCACUACCCAGAGAAAAAAGAAGUUCGCGGAUGCAUUGGCAACACUGGCCUCCAUGAUAAACAUUCCUGAGGGAAAGUCCGCCCAAUCAUGAUAGAACAAAGAAGCAGCCCGGUGUAUUGCAACCUAAUAGAAAUUUUUGAGUGGACUCCCGGCAUGUUCAAUAGGGAUCUUUUGGCCAUUGAAAGGGCACCCAACGGUAAACCAUGGUUUACUGACAUCAGGGAAUAUAUUGAACACCAAACGUAUCCCAAACAUGCAACGGAAAAUGAUAAGAAGACAAUCAGGAGGUUGGCAAUGCAAUUCGUUGCGCGGGGAUGCGAUUCGCCAAGCAGGGGCAAAUCUUUCCACUAUCUCUAAAGGGGGCCCCUGGGCCACUUGACUGUAAGGAAAGGGGUUCGACUCAAUACUCUUGUGUGUAUCCUUUGGCCACCAAUCUAGCCUUCAACCCCUUAACUGCUCCAUCAGCUUUUUGUUGACUUUAUAGACCCACUUGUAGCCAAUGGCUUCUUUCCCUAGAGGAAGAGAGACUCAAUCCCAAGUAGCAAACCAUUCUAGUGCUACGAUCUCUUUCUGCAUAGAGCUGCCAGCAGGGUUGAGAUAUGGCCUCUGCAAAGGUAUCGGGUUAAAAAAGAUGGAUGAAAUUGCAAAAAAUACUCGUGGGAAGUAGACAGAGACUUAGUUGAUACAAACCUAUGAAUAGGAAAACGAAGACGGGUGGAUCUACGUACCCCGAGAAUAGAAGCUAGAGAACCUAAGUCUGAAGAAGAGUCUUGGUUCGAAGUAUAGGGAGAGAGGGAGACCACUGAAUCAGUUGGCUCAGCUCCGAAAACUGAGUGACGAGAAUCUGUCUUCACAAACCUGCGAAACUUUCCCUGAUCACUCUGGUCACCCGGAUCUUGCUGACUCUAUUAAAUCGGAGAAUUCUGAUGCUGUCUCACAUAAACUCCUCAAUAGUUCCACCCCUCCCCUCUAAGGGGAGACAGGGGAACAUAAUGGCCCACCAUCACAGGGAAUCUCAAAGCCCCGAGCUCCGUAGUAAGUUCGAAAAAGGUGACAUGUCGAGAAAGGUGGAAUCGUCGUGUAGAAGGAUCAUUAACACUUGUAGCCCUUUUGAGAGAGGGGUACCCCAACCUCACUCAAGAAAACACAUAGAGUGAGAUGUAGGGCUCAGUUUGUCUUGUGCAGGAGAUGGAAUUUUCACAAAGCACGUGCAUCCGAAUAGUCAUCGGUUUGAAUAGUCAUCUCUUUGAAAGAGAGUAAAACGCCCAAAGAUAACGUGUAGAGGAGAUCGCUCACCAAUAAUAGGAGCCAUCGUCUUCUUACUCAGAUAAGCGGCCAUCAUUAAAUUGGCUUUACUAGGGAUCCUAUAAUAGGGAACUUUCAUUCCCAGUAGAAGUCCUCGAGCAACUUGACUAAUACUAAUAAAUAAGGGGAAGGCCCAACAUUUUCUAUUAGUAUAAGGAAGGCGCUAGCUAGCGCCCAACCUAUACAAGGGCUUUCCACCUCCAUUUGGUCGUGCUGCUAUGAUGUAACGUGCAGUCGUCCCAAGGCAGCAGGAUGUAUGGUAUAGGGCCCCCUAUUUUAUCUCCCUUAAAGUCCUUUAUGGAUUUCGAGUCGGGAAUAGAGCUGUGGCUUAUUCGGCGCUAUAUCACAAUGCAUUCUCGGGCAUAGCUGUUCACGAAAGGUGGCAUGGGACAUCUGUCAGCGGCGGGAGUCUUACAUCCGAGCGAGAGGUCAGACCAAUCCCAUUCAUCCUGGUCUGAUCCGAACAGAUCUUGUUGAAUGAAUUGAUCCAUUCCAUUGUUGUAUGCCCUACUUCUUAAUCAAUUUAUUCCUACUCGGACCCGCCGUACUUCCUUUGACUACUCCUGAGAUAUAGUGGAAAGAUUUUUUUAUGGUGGAGAGUGGGGAGUGAAAAGACCAAUGCAGCAGAGAAGGACUGCAUGAAUCGGAAUCCGCUUAUUAAGAUUAAGACAGACGACCGAGAAAGAAAGGCUCCGCGUUCGAACAUUGGUUGAUCUUAGCUUAGCGUGCUAGCCGCUGCUUCAUUUCGUAUAGUGAUAACGCUUUCUCUUUCUUAACGCUCCGCCCCCCUUGUAUAGUAAGGGCUACUUUGGUUGCGCGGCUUUCUCUUAUAGGGUGACUUGACUCAGCUUGACCUACUUGACUCAGCGGUUAGAGUAUCGCUUUCAUACGGCGAGAGUCAUUGGUUCAAAUCCAAUAGUAGGUAAAACCGACCGAAACCCCUGCUUUUGCCAGCAUGACAGCAAGCACGGACUGGCAGCAAGGAGUCAAUUGAAUGAUCAAGGCAUCGGUUGCUUCCACCUGUGGCCUUCUUCGACCGCCUUGACACCUUAAUAUCAAGGAACCCCCCCUAUUCCACAAGUAGGUGGAGACCUGGAGGGUCGGAAACCUCAACGGGAAACCUUUCACCGCGCCACACGAUUCUUUCGCGAAGCGCUCUUUCCACUCCUGCCCCCGCAAGCAAAGAGGUUUCAAGAUAAGAUAGCAGGCGACCAAAAAGCUCCGAGCAAAUCUUCUAGAGAGCGUACCCUUAGUUUCGACUCUUUCUCUAUUCUAAAACGAAAAAUCGAAAAAAGAAAAAGAAAGAGAUUUUUUAAAGAAAAGAAAAACGGGUCAACAACACCAACAUGUGUAUUUGAGAGAUUGUCCUCUUGGGCGGCCGAGAGUGUUGUGUUAUUGUUAUGAGUGUUGUGUUAUUGUUAUGUAAGACCAAGGAGGAUCCUAUCCUAAAGGAGAAGGAGGAGGAGUAGGAGCUAGCCUUAGGGGCGGAAUCGAUUCUAAAAUACAAAAAUGAACGACUUACUAGAAGCUGUCGCGCCUUUUGUGACAGGUUUACAAGAAACUUUGAGCGGGAGAAGGGGGCGAACCCGCAGGUUCCCCUUGCCCAAGAAUUUCGGGUAGAGGAAAAUGGGGACCCUGCGAUGGGGCUUCAGGUAGGGCAUCGAGAACCUUUUUUUCUAAUAAGAAAUGAGAGUAUGGAGACCUCUAUGCUUAAUCGAAUAAGAAAGCUCGAAAGGGAAAAUAGCGUAUUUCUGCUUGAAAAAGCAAAAGGAGCCUAUUGGGAAGAAGUAAAAAGCACCCUGAACAAUUCUGGCUCUCAGAAAGAGUAUUGCAGGUUACUCUGUUUCGAGAACAGAGACCUGCAAAUCAGGGAGAGAAAACACGAAUGUUUUUUUCUCUUUCAAGAGAUUCUUUCUCGGAAUCGUGCCUUGAGGGGGGAUGCUGCCAAUCCUACCGAGGACUUUAUGGAUUUCUUUUCCGAGAAGCGAGAGGUACUGGACAAAAACCCCGAAUGGGGCCCGGUAGAGAAAGACAUAAAGGAAAUCGAGUUCGUUGAGCAAGUAAAACUCGAUCUUGCAGCACGCGGGCACGAGUCUCCCUAUAUAAAGCAAAUUCUUGGGUUAGGGUGAAAUCCGGAGAUCUACGAAGGAACGCUAGCUAUAUGCUUAACACAUGCAAGUCGAACGUCUACGAAAAAGCUGUCGUAAAGUUUCGUUCUUCGUUCCUCUCCUCUUGGUCGAAUUACUUCGUUCCUAUUUCUUGCUUUUUUUUCCGGUAUGCCGCUCCGCCAGCAAGGAGCGAAAGAACAAAGUUUUCUGUGGUGAUGUCAGAAUUUGCACCUAUUUGUAUCUAUUUAGUGAUCAGGCCGCUAGUUUCUUUGAUCCCACUCGGUCUUCCUUUUCUAUUUUCUUCCAAUAGUUCGACCUAUCCAGAAAAAUUGUCGGCCUACGAAUGUGGUUUCGAUCCUUCCGGUGAUGCCAGAAGUCGUUUUGAUAUAAGAUUUUAUCUUGUUUCCAUUUUAUUUAUUAUUCCUGAUCCGGAAGUAACCUUUUCCUUUCCUUGGGCAGUACCUCCCAACAAGAUUGAUCCAUUUGGAUCUUGGUCCAUGAUGGCCUUUUUAUUGAUUUUGACGAUUGGAUCUCUCUAUGAAUGGAAAAGGGGUGCUUCGGAUCGGGAGUAACCACUAGUGAUAGGGCAAAAAUAGGGGGGAAGGACAAAGGAAAGAGCGAUGCCUACAUUAAAUCAAUUGAUUCGUCAUGGUAGAGAAGAAAAACGGCGCACGGACCGUACUCGAGCUUUGGAUCAAUGUCCCCAGAAGCAAGGAGUAUGCCCGCGUGUUUCAACGAGAACACCGAAAAAACCUAAUUCAGCUCCACGUAAGAUAGCCAAAGUACGGUUGAGCAAUCGACAUGAUAUAUUUGCUCACAUUCCAGGCGAAGGUCAUAAUUUGCAGGAACAUUCUAUGGUCUUAAUAAGAGGAGGUAGAGUGAAAGAUUCGCCAGGUGUGAAAUUUCAUUGUAUUCGAGGAGUCAAGGAUUUGCUGGGAAUUCCGGAUCGAAGAAGAGGCAGAUCAAAAUAUGGUGCGGAAAAACCAAAAUAGAUAUGAAUGGAAGAUGCCUCUGGAACUCCUUUUUCUCGGUAAGGAUAGGCACGAAGUCACUCGACUGAAAGGAGAGGGAACAACCACAACGUUACACCCCAAAACUAUACGGAGCCCUUCCGAAUGACCUAGAAUAUAGUCUACCUCACUCUUUCUUGGCUAGUCUAGUAGACUCUAUUCGCCCGUGGAGGUGAGUGGAGGAAGCUGUGAAGCUUCUAACUCUAAUUACCAACUCGGGACUAUAUUAGUAUAAAGCGGCAUUAUCCCUUUACUAAAUCCUCCCUCGCUUACCACCAUGAACAAGACCUUUCCCGAUCAAUUGGUUUUUCAUUAUUUAAUAAGAAAGAUGGCAAAUCCUACCAUUGUAUUUCCUUUUUUCAUUUGGAUCCUAUCAACUUAGAGAGUGUCUAGAUUAAGACACUUCUCGUAUUCGGACUAUCAAGAUCGACUAAAUGAGAGUGUGGCUGACAUGGUAAAAGAACAAAUCAGCCACACUUUUCUGGACCCCUUUUUUUACUAGCUUUAAUUCCACUCCCAGCAGGACACACUACACUUAAUGUAAUAAAGAUUUUUCUAGGAGAACAAAAUGAAGCUAAUUUACAGCUCUUGUCAUAUAUCUAUAAUUGCUUCCAAUAAUUAUGAAUAUAUAGUGAAUUUUUUGCGCAAGCCGUACAUAUUGCGUUAACAAUAAUGGGGGGAGGUGGUUUUGGUUAGUUAAAUAUAAGUUGUAGUUUGAGUCCUCUCGAGGACGGGCCCCCUUUUUUUGGGAAAGGAUAGUGGGUAGGGCUUAUCUUUCCCUUCAACCAGCCACUCUUUUAGUUCCCAAAAUAUAUAUAAUCCAGAAUCCUUUUAAGCGCCUUAUCACGAAAGUGACCGAGCAAGCAGAUGAUUUCCCCUAAGGCACCGAUGGACCAACGCCUUCGUAUGUAUAUCACCCGAAUUUCUUGAUUCACGGCGUCGAGUAUUUGCACUUUAGAUCUCAUGACUCGACCUGUAGACGGUGAUACCGCCACCUUUGGCGACGUGAUCCUUUCUUAUUCACUUGUGCUGGUGGCGGAGAGGUCGGCGCCUGUGUUCUGGCUUGGGGGGGUGGGUCUUCCCUUUUUCAAUUAUGACGUACUCGGUUAGGUUGCCAUCUAGGUCUCGGUCGGGGGCGACUUCCAAAUUAUGGUCUCAUUCUUCCCUUGAUUCACGAUCCUUGCAGCUGAAUUAAUCCCCCAUGUGUCGGGACCUGAACCGUGGUGGUGCUCUUCUACAGCUUCUUCUACAUAGGCUCCUCCACUUCUGGAAUUGAAAAAGGAAGCUUUUCCAAGCCCGAACAAGAUCAAAAGAACUGAUCGCUUUCUACAAUAAGAAAAUAGUUAUCUACUAGCCAUGUUUUCUUUCUGUGAUAAUGCCGUAGCGUAGGACUCCAGGAAUUUUGGAAGCUGAACAUGCUCAAAAGAUGCCUAAAGCUUUUAGCUUUGAUCAUUCGACGCCGAGUGAAAGGGUUCCUCGCUAAAUAAAACCAAAGUUCCACAAUCCCUUACCUACCCCAGCCCAUCCCUUCACCCGGAUAAUGACCACUUAAGCACCUCUGGAAGCGAACAGAAAGAGAUGGCAGAGUCCGCCUCGUUCUUAUACGACUUUCUUUCCCUGUGUUCUAUCACUCACGGAUGGCCUACCCAAGGAAGAAAUCCAGGGCAGUCACCUGUAUGUUAGGUAGCCUCCUCACUAAACACAAGUAAGAGCUAGCUUGCAUUGAGAAUGAGGGCCCUCCUAAGGACUUGUUUUCAGCUCCUUACUUACAGAUAAGAGUCAAAGUUCAAACAGCCCACUUUGCUCCGUUGCUCUGCUCGCUCCGACGAUUCUACAUACCGGCCGUAAAGAGAGAGCGCAGUGUGAUUGGCUCUAUAAUGGAAAUAAUGGAUAUGCUCUGUCGUAGAGCUUCGCUAGCAGUGUCGAGCUUUGCUCGCGAUUCGACUGGAACUAAGGACCUGAACUGAAUGGAAUUUCAGAGCUCUCGCGCGGCUAUCUAAAGAAUGAAGAACCGCUACUGAACGAGAGCGAGUGAAGUGAGUAAGCACGGAACGAGCUAAAUAGAAGUUGUAGCAACGAGCUACUAAGGAAUGACUGUGUUGAAGUUUCAAACGUAGAGCUCGGUACUUUCAAUUUCAUGAUUGUAUUCCAGGCUGAGCACAACAUCCUUAUGCACCCAUUUCACAUCUUAGGCCUAGCUGGUGUAAAAGGCGGCUCCCUAUUCAGUGCUAUGCAUGCUUCCUUGGUAACUUCUAGUUUGAUCAGGGAAAGCACAGAAAAUGAAUCUGCUAAUGAAGGUUACAGAUUCGGUCAAGAGGAAGAAACUUAGAAUAUCGUAGCCGCUCAUGCUUAUUUUGGCCGAUUGAUCUUCCAAUAUGCUAGUUUCAACAACUCUCGUUCGUACACAUCUUCUCUUUGUUUCCCGUGCCUCUAGUGAGUUAGAGACAGAGUUCGAAAAGGUCAAAUCUUUGAUGAUUCCAUCAUCUAUGAUUGAGUUGCGAAAACUUCUGGAUAGGUAUCCUCCAUCUGAACCGAAUUCUUUCUGGUUAAAGAAUCCCUUUCUAGUAGCUCUGGAACAAUUAGGAGAUUCUAUACGGGGUUUUGCUUCUGGCGGCAACAUGCUUGGCCCCGCUUAUGGGGUCAAAUCAAUACGUUCUAAGAAGAAAGAUUGGAAUAUCAAUCUCAUCGAGAUCAUCGAUCUCAUACCAAAUCCCAUCAAUAGAAUCACUUUUUCGAGAAAAUACGAGACAUCUAAGUCAUACAAGUAAAGAGAUCUAUUCAUUUUUCAGAAAAAGAAAAAACGGGAUUGGAUUGAUGAUAAAAUAGAAUCCUGGGUCGCGAACAGUGAUUCGAUUGAGGAUGAAGAAAGAGAAUUCUUGGUUCAGUUCUCCACCUUAACGACAGAAAAUAGGAUUGAUCAAAUUCUAUUGAGUCUGACUCAUAGUGAUCAUUUAUCAAAGAAUGACUCUGGUUAUCAAAUGAUUGAACAACCGGGAGCAAUUUACUUACGAUACUUAGUUGACAUUCAUAAAAAGCAUCUAAUGAAUUCUGAGUUCAAUCCAUCCUGUUUAGCAGAAAGACGGAUAUUCCUUGCUCAUUAUCAGACAAUCACUUAUUCACAAACUUCGUGUGGGGAAAAUCGUUUUCAUGGAAAACCCUUUUCGCUCCGCUUAGCCUUAUCCACCCUCUAGGGGUAUUUUAGUGAUAGGUUCCAUAGGAACUGGACGAUCCUAUUUGGUCAAAUACCUAGCGACAAACUCCUAUCUUCCUUUCAUUACGGUAUUUCUGAACAAGUUCCUGGAUAAGAAGCCUAAAGGUUUUCUUCUUGAUGAGAUCGAUAUUGAUGAUAGUGACCUUGAUACGGAGCUGGAACUGCUAACUAGGAUGGAUGAGGAUGAGCUAGGCUUUCAACAGCAUAGGGCACAUUCGUGAAGUGCAGCUUGACAGCAAUAAGGAAUAAGUCUCCCCUAUCACCAACCUGUACCUUCUUUCAAUGCACCAUUUAAGGCCAAAAAGCAUGGCCUUUGCUUCUGCCCAGUUGCUGGUUCCAGCACCCAAGGGAAUGGAGUAAGCCAUAAUAAGAGCACCCAUACUAUCUCUGACAACACCACCACCUCCACAAAUACCAUCUCUACAGCGACCAUCACUAUUAAGCUUGACAAAGAGCAGUGGUGGCUUGAUCCACCUAACCAAAGCCACAGAUUUGGAAGUCAUUGAAGCAUCACACAGAUGACAGAUACUCUUCCAGCUCUCACCUACUCUAACCUUGCCAAACUGAGAAUGCAGCAGGUGAGAUAAGGAGUAUGUGAUCAAUGCCUUGGAUCUAUAACAGAUACCACUUCUUCUUUCCUGUUUGGGCAUUUGGAACUGUUAGCAGUUGAGGACGAACUUCAGGCUUUCUAUGAGUGGAAAUCCAAUUAGCGAACCCUCUUUCGUACCUCCGCCUUUCCCUUCUAGUCAUGGUCACCAUUUUGUUAUCACCGCUACAGACUACUUCACCAAGUGGGUUGAAGCAAUACCAAUAGCCUUAAGAUUAAGAUUGGAAAGUCGCUUUUAAGCCCAAGUGCAACCAAACUAGCAGGAAAUGAAAGCAGAAAUGGAUCUGUGUCACUGUCUGUAUGCUUGUCUUCAAGAAUCAAUCAAAAAAGAAGCAAUCAACAAAUCAAGUUGAGGUAUCAAAAUCCUGCCUUCUUUCGUUUCGACCCUCAUCUAUGAGAUGAGGAAUCCCUCAUAGCUAGAUUCAUCAGUAGCUUAGAAACUAGGAACUGGAUGAGGGGAAGUCAAUCUAAUCUCGGCCUCGCCCAUUCCAUUACGGCAUUCUCUUCUUGAUCACCGGAUAUUGAUAGAAAAACAGUCACACCAAAAGAAAGACGAAGGGGGAGCCCGCGGCAGGGGUUCCAAACCUAGGCUUAAUGCCCCAACGAGCACAGUCAGAAGAGAAGCCUUUGGGCAACUCGAUAGGAAUCAGAGGAGAAAGAUAGAGUCAUUGCCGUUCUAACCGCUGUCAGAAGACGUGAAGUGAGGGCGUGGUUCAAGUCACAUCGUAUGCUCGUCUUCAUAAAGGUUUGACUUUGAUUGUUUGUUGCCAAAGAGAAGAGUUCAUUGUUUAGGUCCUACUCUGGGUCUGUAGCUGACAGCGGCAGUGAUUUUCUUAUCGAUUAUUGUAGAUUAAUAAGACCCAAAACCGGUAGCGAAUAGAAUAAAGAAGUUGCUUCGCCGAAUGCCGAUUACUAGGUAAAUCGCCCACUAUAUAUAGCACCUAUCGGACGGGGAAACUUUAUUGAAUUGAGUUCGGUGUAGAAGGUUCAAGCAAGGGAUGUGGAUUGAGUCCAAGUUCUGGAGAAAGAGGGGGCCUUUUUCAUCUUUCCUACGAUCAAAUUCUUCAUAUCCGAAGCGCAGGAAGGAUCUGACUAGAAAGUCGUCUUGCUGAUGCGAUAGUCCUCUGGGUAUGGCCACAUUCGUCUCGACAAUAGGAUAGGGAAAGAAAAUCCAUAGACGAGACCAACUGGGACCGAACCUUUCUAUCUUCUUCUUUCUCUUUUUGUUCCCGCCUGCCGAGGACCUAUGUUUCAAUAACGAUGAAGGGCUACUAUACUAGAAGGGAAAGGGCUUCAGGAGAGAUGGUUAGAUUGGAUGGGCGUAGUUGAUCGAUCGAACUACGAUGAUUGGAAUGAAGACAGACAGACUUCCGUGCGAAAGACAGAACGGCAAAAAUUCUUCUUGCAUUUUUCCUAAACUUCGUCAAGCCUAUCCGCUCAUUUGUUCCAAACCAGAGUUUCUAGUUUCAAGAUCGCGCUUUUAGUACGCGUGUGGUGAGAUGUUCCAAGCCCGGUAUCUACUGAUUUUGCCAUUCCUAUGAUUCAAAGGAUUCACCAGCUAUAGGGCAGUUAGCGCAGACAUCAAGUAAGGGCUCGUAGGCUACUCAUGCCAAAUGAACAUCCUAUUUUUUUCAAGGGGAAGAGAAGAGCUCUAGGUCAAGCCUCUUAUUCUAUUUAUUCUAUUGGGUCUACCCGUCGGGCAGGUAAGCGAGACAGAAGUCUCAUUGUUCGUGGUGUUGCAAUGAAUUCAUUGGAUGAUAAUAGCGUAUAAAGAUUUUCUUUCUACUUCCUCCUCUAUCUAAGUGUCAAGUUUUAGCUCAUAGGUGGUUCGUUUUGAAGUGACUUCAUCUAUAUGUUUAACACAUGCGUGUACUACUCGUUGUGUAGUCAAAUUUCCUGUCAGUCACGAUUGGCUUUGAAUCAAUAUAAAGCUUAGUAGAUCGUGAGUCUUGGUUCUUAGCGAAAUGCUACGCGCUAUCUUACAUACGAUGAUUUAGAUCACCAAAAAGGAAUUCCAGUAAUGUCGUACGGUCGAAAGACAAUGUCAUUGAAGGGCAUAAUAUAGGACUGCUCACCUGCGUAAAGACAUUGAAUUUGUUCUCAGUGAAAGAGGUCUCGAGGAGAGGUACGAAGUCACUCGACUGAAAGGAGAGGAAGAAAAACCAAGCUCUGUCAGUCAGACCUCCUCAGAAGUACGUGAUUUCGCCUUUCCAACCAAUUGAUGUAGGAAGAACCCUGGACCUAUUCAUUCCUUCUCAGACUCGCCUAGCGGUCUUUUUCAUCUCGUAAAGCGGUAUUUCUCUCUUUUAUCAUCUCUUCAAGGACAUAGAGCUUCGGUUCCCCUUCUUCCUAAUGGGCUACGAGGACCCUAGGACUGAGGACUCUUAGAAAGAAGGAUUACCGUCUUGCGUACCGUACUGGCUUACCCUUAUUAAGAACAGACUGGCUGACUUCCUGGCCUUUUUUAUUCAAAGAAGGCAAAGAAGGAGAGGAAAGCACAGACGGCAAAGAAAGGGAAAGCUCCUACUCAAGUCAUCGAGUGACAUAUAAAACAAGGAGACAUCUUUAUGCAUGCGCAAAAGGCGAUUAAUCGAGAUAGUGCAGAGGUGACAAAGCAUGCAUGAGGUUUCCUUCAAUCUGGUGGUCCCAACAAAAAAAACAUUAGAACUCGCGGACUAAUGAGUAUAGGACCUAAUUAGGGGUGGUUGGCGCCUAUAUACCACUUCAAACGCUCUUUGUUUGGUUUCAGAAUUUCAAGUGGUAUUGUACCACUAUUCUGCCCAUGGUAACCAAUGUUCCCAUUCCUUUGGAAUAUCGCUUGUAAAGCAUCCCAGGUAUUUCUCUAAGCACCGGUUAACCACCUCCCUCACUGUUUUGUUUGCAUGAGAUUCCACUUAUUCUAUGUCAUUUUAAGCCUUAGGUAGUUGUUCCUCCCGCAGUUCUUUUCUUGGUCUGAUAGUCUUGUUAACGCUUUCUAAUCGACUUUCUAUCUUGUACAGAUCUUCCUUGCCUUUUCUUCCUCGUCCAGUGACGGAUUUGCUCCCUCUUUCAGUAAGUCUUCUUCUUUAGUAAGAAGAGUACUGCCUAAAGCAAUGUGAGUUAAAGUGUCUAUAUGGGAACCGGCCGUAAACUCCUUUUCUGGUGUAGAUCCCCUUCCUUAUGAAUCAGUUCCCCGGGUACAAGGAAUGAGUGCUCCUAAUGUCUUUUCUCUCUUUCGGUCGAGUGAGUCACGUGCGUUCAAGUUAAAGCUAAAGAAGAGAUAGUAACUCGACCUUAGGCAGAGGUUUGAAAACCAUUCCAUUGGGAGUUCCAUCAUUCAGACGGACAAGACAGAUGGCGAGGCAAGAAGCCCCGCAAACGCAAUUCAAUAGGGAAGUGCGCUUUCCACCUAAGCUGGUGACUUUCCUUAGCCAUUCAUUGCGUCUUGAGCCACACCGUCCUCUAGCCCUGCCCCCUUUCCAUAAGUAAAUUCUCCUUCUAGUCUCUGACUACCUGAUUCAUUAGCCUACAAAAGGUUGCUGGCGCCAAAGGGCAUGACAAGGAAGUCAGAAGCUCCAUACCAUACCUCGUGAGAGAAGUCGUCUUUGAUUCAUCCCCCUCUGCAAUCCUGACUUCCCAGUACUCCGAUCGGAGAUCCUAUUUUCUUUAGUAAAGAGCCUUGCUAGCGGAUCAAAAGAGUGGGCGACAAGCAGAAUGGAAUAGUAGUUCCGAAAGGUCGCCUUAUUGACUGCUAGGGAGUCUACCCACAUUCGAAGAGUGCCCUGCUCUACGAAAGGAAAACGGGCUCGGGCGACAGAUCAAUAGUCGACUCAGGGUGGGUAGCAGUGGAGUCAAGAAGCCUGUCAAGAACAUGAAUCAGUUCGUUGGGGCUAAGACUUUUCUUCCUUCCUUCUCCAGGUUAGCUAGGUGAUACGCCCCGAAUCGUCCACCAAAGAUGUCGCUAGAUGGGGGUAUCAGUUGAAGCCUAACUCUUUUUUCUGCCUUGGUCUAGCCUCCUUUCGUAAAGUUCGGAACGAUAGAAGCUUUCAUGGCUCCUUCCGGAAAGGGAUCGUAAUGUGAGCGAGUUUGAAGACUUCCGUCGAAGGCACUUUCGAACUGGCAAGACUCACAGCCCCUUUCUUUAUGGAAGGAAGGAAGAUAGGUCUAAGCUCGACCGGAAAGAAGAUUCGCUCGCCCGAGACUCGACCCCCGAUUUCCCAUACUAUUGAAACCAACAAGAAAAAGGACUUGCAAGGUCUUGCUUAUCGACAAUCCCACUAAGGCACCUACCCAUACCUAUAAGCCAAGCAACUAAUAAGAAAACGAAAGGUACCUUUGUAGUAGAGCUCAACGCUUAGAAGUUAAGAAGUAAAGCACCUUCUAUUGAGGAACUACUCCUAGCUAGCUCUACUUGAGAAAUGAAUAACUUAACCCUUUGCUUGCUACUAUUUGUGCUGAGCAAGAGCUUGGGCUACGUCAAGUUAAGCCGUUGCGCGCUAGCAGUUACUCUUCAGAGAUAUGGAACUCCAAGCCGAUCAACAGGCCCAAGGAGAGUUCAAGGACUUCUUGCUUCGUCAGAUGCUUUCCCGGACAACUUUGUUAGCGCUUCACUGAUUAGUGAAUACUAUAUCUAACUACUGAACCUAGUGGCUUAUCUCGUUCUAGUGACUUACCGUACGAGGAACAACAGAAACUUCCACUACAACUCCAUCCAUCGGCAAAUAUCCUGUACCGUGGCACGGAAUUAGGAAAUAGCAGCGGAUCUUAGCUCUUUUCACGAAUCCGCAGCAAGAAGACGCAGAUAUUUUCAUGAAGAAUAAGCUCUUAGAUGUAGCAUUACCGGACGUGAAUCUAAAGGUUAGAACUAAUAAUCUAGCUCUUUGCAAUAAGGGCUUUUUUCAGGACAAAUGCCAAAUGCAAAGAAAGCAGAAGAUGCGGCUUAGCCAGCUCGCUCUAGUCCCCUACGAUAAGGAUGAGAAAAGGCCAAGGAGUGAAUAGGAGGGAAUAGGGGCAUCAGUCUUAGCUCUUACUGUUCGAGAAUCAACUGUACAUGAAUAGGCUCUUCCUUAGGCCUUCAAGGAGGAAGCGAGGGUGGGACAAGUGAAUCCGAUGUGAGGGAAGGAUUGCUGCGUCAGUCGAAACUAGGGCUUAUGCAAUUGAAUCAGAAAUGCACAUGUAAGAUAAGAAUGGAAGGAGACAGCCAAAGCAGGGAUUGAUCUAUUCCAAAACCACUGGGCAGGGACCUAUUCCUAAGCCAUUUUCAGUAGACAGACAGGGAAAAGGACUAAAAACAUUCUUCGCAAGAUGAGAGCAAGCAUUAGAUGAAGCCGACUUUGUCCAUCUCGCAUAUCAACUUCCUCUAUCGAUAGCGUAAAGCCGCCCAACACAGAGAACGAACAUGGUCGGUAGGUAAUUAAUCUUCGUUUGGAUAGCAGUACGAUACACGCAUCAAGAUAUGAUCUUUGCUUUUCCAUCCCUGGCAUUCAAAAGAAAGGGGGGAAAGGGAGAGUGAAAAGCACCCUGUAGAUAAAGAUCGAGAGCCUGUGGACCGGGGUUGAACCAUAUCCCCCUUCUGUUAAUCGAGAGUGUGACGAAGUGAACCGAAAAUAUUGUGCGGUAAACUGAUGCUGUGAGGCGGAGAUAGCUGCACUUCUUGUUCUUUUUUCCCUUCGAUUCUUUAACGCUUCUUUCAGGUCUCGCUACCCCUGACCAUAAGAAGAAUGUUAUACUAUAAGAGCGAGGUGCAAGUGCUGCAUAAAGUUCUGUUAUCCGUUGUUCAAGCCUUUCUUUGAGCAGAGCGCUUUCUUUCCGGUCAUUGGCAAGCGCAGAUGGGCUUUCACACCCGCUUAUGUUGUGGGUGGGAUGAAGGCAUCUAUCUUAUUAUAUUAUAUGGAAGAAGAUCGUUAGAUGGUUAGCGGCUAGAACAAAACAAGGGGCGUUGUAUGGAGGUUUCCAAGCAGAGGUGCGAAGCAAUUGAGAUGCAUAUAGAAUAGAUGGUAGGGUUCCAAACCUCGCCUAGCACCGAAAGAGAAGGCCUUGUUCUGCAGGGUACGGCCCUGGACAGUGGAAAAAUAGAAUAAGAUGGAGCCUACCUACUUGGUUCGGACGAAGUAGAUAGAUCAAAGGAAUGGAAUCCAGGUGGCUCUUAUGCCACUUUUGAUGGUCUCGGUUCGGACGAGAUAGAUGGAAAAGCAUUAGGUCGAUGGCCGGGGUAAUUUCCUUCCCACUCCGAGGCAUAUUGAUCUGGAUCCCUGGGAACAGGUCUUAGAGAAGUAGAUGGCUCGGCUCCACUGGGAGAUGGGAAACUAUAUGCGGAGUUAGAGGCAGAGGGACUUGUACUUGGCUAACCGUCAGAGGGAUGGUAAGUAGAUUGUUCGAUAGCUUACCCACGAAGAUGGAUUUUAUUCUGGUCGGCCACCAUAGUACUAAGACUGAAAGCCUGCUAGGCAGUCUACACAGAAGGGAAGUCACCAAACGUGGGAAAGAGUACCUUUUUCUUACUCGAAGGAACCGCUACCAUAGGAUUUAAGACAAGGAUGCCUUAUUGUUUGGACUUUCAUUAAGGAUAGACCUAGGAUUGAAAGAGUCGCAAUAGAUGGAUAGCAUCUUCAAGGGAUUGAUGGCUUCUUCAGGAAAGGCUUGGCCUCCAGAAGAUGAGGACUUUUUCGGAAGGAUAGAGUCAUUGUAUUCCCGAGUACUGAUUCUCUUUUAGGAUGGUAUUCUAUUGAAUGAAGGCUACCUUCUUACUUGGCAGGAUGGGGUAGACAGAUAUAGUACGAUUGGAUUGAUGGAUGGUGCACUAUCCUUCUCCCAAUCAUUUCUCAGCAAAACCAAUGAGUACAACUUAUUAAAGGGAAACUACGAAAAAGAUCUUAGAGCUAGCUGUCUCAAUCAUCCACAGCUCCGGGAUUAAUGUGCUCUUUUUUAUGCUGGAGUCAUAGCUUAUCUAAAUUCUUAUUCCCACCCCUACAAGGUCUUUAAAUAAAAUGAAGAUAAGACGAUAACUUAUCGUCUGCAUCUAUAACUACUUCUGGUUUAUAUACACUGCUAAAAGGUUGAAUUCCAAACGAUUAGGUUAGGGCAGGGUGGAGUUCCUCUUUAGCACUGUUCUUUUAGGUGUAGUUCCGUCAAGGCGCCAAGAUCAAACUCCGGCCGGGAGGGGCCGAAGACUUGAUAGGUGUAGUGACUUAGAUUCCAUGGAGUACCGUCAGACUUUCAUGUAGUUCCGUCUAAUCAAGGUAUAAAAGAAAAAGAAAAGCCGACCUUUUCUUUUCCACGCUUUUUUACAUUUCAGUUCAGAUACGUUGCUCGACUUGCGCCUUUGCACGCUCGACCGCUCCCCCAUCCCGCCUGGCCCAUUCUAGCGGGGAAUAACCUCAAUCCGUAGAAGCUGCAUCCUCAAGGGCUGAGUGAUUAUGCCAGUGAUCAAGAUAUCAACCACAUAAAUAGGUAGUAAAAUGGUUAUGGACCCACGAUGACGAAAGGUAAGUGAUGCGUCGGACUUAGAAAAUCUUAGGCCAAACUAAAUGUUGAUCAGUGAAGACAAGAAAGCUUUUAAGUGUAGACGACUACUUGUACUUGAAAUUCCAUUCCUUUAUCCGGUGGGAGGGUUUAGAGCCAGUUAAGCCAAUAGCAUAUCUAGCAAAAGCUUCAGUAACACCAGCUACAUCAGUAGAUCAUUGAUUAGCAUACCUCCUCUGAAUAGUCUACGUGGACCCUAGUUUCUAUUACUAUUAAUUCGAAUUAAUCCAGUAAUGCAUACAGCCUUUACUCUCUUAAAGAGCAGGAGGUUUAGCGUCAACUCAUUCAAUGAAUGUUCUUUCAUUCACCACACGGAUGAAUCCUACUCUGUAUUUUCCAGCGGACAGUCAUUUGUCUAAAGAGAAUAGACGUAUAGCAGCUCUCUCUCAUAACAGAAUGAAAGCAAGCAAGAACGAAAUGAGCGCUUACCCUAUCGACCGAAGCUACUAUCCUAAAAUAAGAAACUCCUAAAUUAAAGAACUACAGGAAAGGUAAUAUACUGAGCUAGCCUCCCGUUAUGCACCAAUGUUUGAAGAGGACCGUUAACCUUUACCAAAAGAAAGAAGGGCUAUUGGUCAGUUUCCUAUAGUUGACCGAUAGAGCUCGACCGAUUGAGACAGGGCAGAUGCGACCGAUGGAAGGGAUCUAAUUUGAAGAAGGAAGUCAUUUGUGGACUGAUUCCGACCCUUUACCAGAAGACAAGAGAUUCGCGGUAUGGCUUCAGAAGAGGUAUUCAUUAUACAGAUAUCGUUUAACGAAUUGCCCGAUUGCCGAUUCACUGCGCCUACCUAUCUUCAAUCACCCAGGAAUGUUCACUUGGCCGCCUACCAAUGAUGCCUUUCACUUUCAGACAGUUCCUCGCGCAUGAAAGGACUUCACUUAUAAAGUCAAGAUAAGAAAGGAUGGUCUACGAUCAGGGAAUGCCUUUUUUGUUAAAGAGAAUUGGCCGCAGAGAGAGCGCCUAUCUCUCAUAAGAGAAGGAGAGCCACUUUUUUUUAGAGUAUAUUAAUGAGUAGGACUGAAAUUCCAAGCGCUCCUAGCUCAGAAACCACACACAGACAAACACAUGGAGGCCCAUAAAACCCAACAAUAAUAGACUAACAAAUAUACGUGACAUACACUUCCUGUGUGAAGUUUUCAUCUUAAUGAAUCAAAGCUCUUUGUAAAAUGCUACUUUUCUUUCUGCAACAAGUAAGAGUACUUUUUCUUAUCAUACACCCUUAUGAAUGAAUGAAUCAAAAAAAUGAGACUCCUAAACUGGCCCCCCUCCUCUGUUUCUUCAAAGACAGAGGUACACAUCACAGGAAAAAACCCCAAAAACAGAAAGAGAAAGAAGUAAGUCAAAAAAUAGGAAAUACUGCUAGAUGGCUACCAGAUUAGCAGCAAAGUACGCUUUUAGUUCCUUUUGGCACAACAAAACAAGGUAGUAAUACGGGAGAAGGUGGUCCAGUAAUCUUCUCCAGCAGGGUGGCCAUAGUGAGAUAGAGUGGUGAAACUGGGUUCCGAAUAAAAAAAAACAGAGCGAGCGGGGAAGGCAAAAGCUAUGACAUUGGAAUCCGCUUCAAGGUAAGCCCCACUCCACUGAAUUGGAGAAUUCCAGAACACGUAUCAGAGAGUGCUCCAAUGGCAGUGGGGCACAAUUGAGAUAAUUUCGACGAUUAGAAAAGAAAAAGAAGAAGGUUAGUGUUCAAUGAGCUCGAGAUAGCUGCCUGAUGAGAGGAAGGGACGCCGGGUACAAUCUUUCUUUGGUUCCAGCCCCCCGGUUACACCAAAGCACACCAGUCAACACUGUACUAUAGCGCUUACACCUGUGAGUUGGCAAAAUAAUAUCGUAUGUUAAUAAAAGACCUGAGUUGGCGAAAAAAAAAAAAAAAAAAAGCUAACGCUAACUAAGUGUUUAGUUACCAUGCCCAAAAGCCCCAUGCCUUUCCUGGUUGGAUAACCAAAUCCAACCGGCGAUUUCCUACAAGUUUCUCUUUUUUUUGGGGGAAGCUAAGAAAGGACAAAGAAAAAUGAAUAUCAUGUUUACACCGAUCGGAUUUCAAAAAGUCCUUCGACCCUUACCUUUUAUUCAUUCUAUGAUUCUCCUUUCUACCCUUGUUUUGACUACCUGUCUCCUGUCUCAUUGGAUUGGCUUUGAUCCCUACCUUAUUAUAGAGAGGGUCAAAGGUUCUUUUUUACUCCAUGCCUUACGUGCUCUUUUUAGGCUCUUUGGUUUGGAAAUACCUAUCCUUCUUCUUUCGCUCGUCGCUUUGGUAGGCGGUUGCAGCAGCUUUCAAAUGGAGGAUAAUUCCGCUGGAGGAAGGGCGGUGGAUUCAGGGUCGGGGUCGGAUAAUUGGCAAAAGUACCUCAACUUAUCCGAGGAAAAUGACUCCGCCGCAUCAGCCUCUCCCCCGUCGUCCUCUUUUUUCAGAGGACUUUCGGACAUGUCCCCUGCACCGGACCUUGGGGAGGAAGUGCAGCAAGUGAGCCCUACUCAUUCCAUUUCCCAAACGGAUCUAUGGAAUUCACCUUCCUCGUCGGCUCCAACCCCAGGUCAGGAUAAUCAACCGCCCCUGAUCCCAGAGCUCCACCCUCCGCUUCUCGAUGACGACACCCGUCGAGCGGAGCUCGCGAGUAGGUUAAGAACCGUUUUAUGGGGGAAAGCUUAUAGGGAAGAAAUGAUAGACUCCGUUGUUGAUACGCAAGUGCAGAUUGAAAAACAUAUUCAAGCUGCACUUGUGGGACGGGACUAUUCGGUUGAGUCUCUUCUUGCGAAGAGGCACCAGAUCAGGGGGCUCAUCUUCUCCCCAAUGGGAGAAGCGCUUAGUGAAAGGACUUACGCUUUGCACCUGAAGGAGAUUCUCCAGUUGGGUACAGUGCAAAGCCUUCCAUUUCGGCGGGUUGAAAGGGCCAUAAAGGACUUUAAUCUCUUUCUUGAACUUGAAAGAGCGUAAAUUCUGCCUUUUUUGAUCCCAAUUUCCCACUCUUUCUGUGAGGCAAAACCUCACCACACUACACUACACUUCGACACAAGAGAAGAGGACCGGGCGCUUUGUAUCUUCGGGAUAGGAGUUGGCGGUCUUCUUUAAGAGAACUUCAAUCUAAU
RNAcentral lists this long non-coding RNA (43882 nucleotides) under Solanum lycopersicum (tomato). Lineage: Eukaryota; Viridiplantae; Streptophyta; Magnoliopsida; Solanales; Solanaceae. The record is from RNAcentral.